RNAcentral lists this ribosomal RNA (429 nucleotides) under uncultured bacterium. RNAcentral describes it as "bacterial SSU rRNA". It matches the Rfam family "Bacterial small subunit ribosomal RNA", at positions 63 to 524 of the family's 1533-position model. The record is from RNAcentral.
CGAACGAGAAAGUGGAGCAAUCCAUGAGUACAGUGGCGACCGGGUGAGUAACACGUGACCAACCUGCCCUCGAGUGGGGAAUAACUCCGGGAAACCGGAGCUAAUACCGCAUAACAUCGCAAGAUCAAAGCCGCAAGGCGCUUGAGGAGGGGGUCGCGGCUGAUUAGCUAGUUGGUAGGGUAAUGGCCUACCAAGGCAAAGAUCGGUAGCCGGCCUGAGAGGGCGCACGGCCACACUGGAACUGAAACACGGUCCAGACUCCUACGGGAGGCAGCAGUGGGGAAUUUUGCGCAAUGGGGGAAACCCUGACGCAGCAACGCCGCGUGGAGGAUGAAGUCCCUUGGGACGUAAACUCCUUUCGACCGGGACGAUACUGACGGUACCGGGAGAAGAAGCACCGGCUAACUCUGUGCCAGCAGCCGCGGUAAU